Molecule: long non-coding RNA, 284 nt
Organism: Beta vulgaris subsp. vulgaris (sugar beet)
Lineage: Eukaryota; Viridiplantae; Streptophyta; Magnoliopsida; Caryophyllales; Amaranthaceae
Exons: 3
Source: RefSeq, a predicted model, not a curated record
UUAAUGCAUCUGGACUUCGACAACCAAAACCUCCUGUUUGGUAUUUAGUCGAGUGUCCGGUACAAGGUGGACGUGCGUGUGGGUAUUACGUCAUGAGGUUCAUGCUCGAUAUCGUCAACUAUUGCAAAGAUGUUGCUGAUCUUGGAAAGGUUUAUGCGAAUUCCACACCACGUUUGAGGAACUUCACCAAAGAAGAAAUGAUGAAGUUCGGGAUAAGUUGGCGUCCCACAUUACCGAUGAUUGCAUAGGAUGAUAUUUAGCUCGAAUGUACUAGUUUCUAUCAA